UCCAGACUCCUACGGGAGGCAGCAGUGGGGAAUAUUGCACAAUGGGGGAAACCCUGAUGCAGCGACGCCGCGUGAGCGAUGAAGUAUUUCGGUAUGUAAAGCUCCAUCAGCAGGGAAGAAAAUGACGGUACCUGACUAAGAAGCCCCGGCUAACUACGUGCCAGCAGCCGCGGUAAUACGUAGGGGGCAAGCGUUAUCCGGAUUUACUGGGUGUAAAGGGAGCGUAGACGGCGGUGCAAGCCAGAUGUGAAAGCCCGGGGCUCAACCCGAGGAUUGCAUUUGGAACUAUCAAGCUAGAGUACAGGAGAGGAAAGCGGAAUUCCUAGUGUAGCGGUGAAAUGCGUAGAUAUUAGGAAGAACACCAGUGGCGAAGGCGGCUUUCUGGACUGAAACUGACGCUGAGGCACGAAAGCGUGGGGAGCGAACAGGAUUAGAUACCCGAGUA
This 445-nucleotide ribosomal RNA is filed under the name uncultured bacterium. RNAcentral's name for it is "bacterial SSU rRNA". It matches the Rfam family "Bacterial small subunit ribosomal RNA", at positions 330 to 792 of the family's 1533-position model. The record is from RNAcentral.